Molecule: transfer RNA, 75 nt
Filed under: Candidatus Daviesbacteria bacterium
Lineage: Bacteria; Candidatus Daviesiibacteriota
Description: tRNA-Met
Rfam family: tRNA
About the family: Transfer RNA (tRNA) molecules are approximately 80 nucleotides in length. Their secondary structure includes four short double-helical elements and three loops (D, anti-codon, and T loops).
Source: RNAcentral
GGCAGCGUAGCUCAGUGGCGGAGCGAGCGACUCAUAACCGCUAGGUCACAGGUUCGAUCCCUGUCGCUGCCACCA